UUUAACUGAAGAGUUUGAUCAUGGCUCAGAUUGAACGCUGGCGGCAGGCUUAACACAUGCAAGUCGAGCGGGGGAAGGUAGCUUGCUACUGGACCUAGCGGCGGACGGGUGAGUAAUGCUUAGGAAUCUGCCUAUUAGUGGGGGACAACAUCUCGAAAGGGAUGCUAAUACCGCAUACGUCCUACGGGAGAAAGCAGGGGAUCUUCGGACCUUGCGCUAAUAGAUGAGCCUAAGUCGGAUUAGCUAGUUGGUGGGGUAAAGGCCUACCAAGGCGACGAUCUGUAGCGGGUCUGAGAGGAUGAUCCGCCACACUGGGACUGAGACACGGCCCAGACUCCUACGGGAGGCAGCAGUGGGGAAUAUUGGACAAUGGGGGGAACCCUGAUCCAGCCAUGCCGCGUGUGUGAAGAAGGCC
RNAcentral lists this ribosomal RNA (415 nucleotides) under Acinetobacter baumannii. RNAcentral's name for it is "bacterial SSU rRNA". It matches the Rfam family "Bacterial small subunit ribosomal RNA", at positions 1 to 416 of the family's 1533-position model. The record is from RNAcentral. Lineage: Bacteria; Pseudomonadati; Pseudomonadota; Gammaproteobacteria; Moraxellales; Moraxellaceae.